This 463-nucleotide ribosomal RNA is filed under the name uncultured bacterium. RNAcentral describes it as "partial 16S ribosomal RNA". It matches the Rfam family "Bacterial small subunit ribosomal RNA", at positions 29 to 507 of the family's 1533-position model. The record is from RNAcentral.
ACGCACGCUGGCGGCGUGCUUAACCCAUGCCGGUCGAACGGAAAGGCCCUGCUUGCAGGGUACUCGAGUGGCGAACGGGUGAGUAACACGUGGGUGAUCUGCCCUGCACUUCGGGAUAAGCCUGGGAAACUGGGUCUAAUACCGGAUAGGAGCCAUUUUUAGUGUGAUGGUUGGAAAGUUUUUUCGGUGUAGGAUGAGCUCGCGGCCUAUCAGCUUGUUGGUGGGGUAAUGGCCUACCAAGGCGGCGACGGGUAGCCGGCCUGAGAGGGUGGACGGCCACAUUGGGACUGAGAUACGGCCCAGACUCCUACGGGAGGCAGCAGUGGGGAAUAUUGCACAAUGGGCGCAAGCCUGAUGCAGCGACGCCGCGUGGGGGAUGACGGCCUUCGGGUUGUAAACUCCUUUCGCUAGGGACGAAGCUUUUGUGACGGUACCUAGAUAAGAAGCACCGGCUAACUACGUG